This 1414-nucleotide ribosomal RNA is filed under the name metagenome. Its description in RNAcentral is "bacterial SSU rRNA". It matches the Rfam family "Bacterial small subunit ribosomal RNA". The record is from RNAcentral.
AGAGUAUGAUACUGGCUCAGAACUAACGCUGGCGGCGUGUCUGAAUGAUGCGAGUCGAACGAGAACGGAUCCUUCGGGGUCCUAUUAAAGUGGCGAACGGGUGAGUAACAUGUGUGCAACCUGCCUCUGGAAGGGGGAUAACACCUUGAAAAGGGUGCUAAUACCGCAUAGAGUUGCAUGGCACAAGUCGUGUAAUGAAAGGUAGCCUCUGCUUGCAAGCUAUCGACCAGAGAUGGGCACGCAUCCUAUUAGCUUGUUGGUGAGGUAACGGCUCACCAAGGCGACGAUGGGUAACCGGCCUGAGAGGGUGAUCGGUCAUACUGGGAUUGAGAUAUGGCCCAGACUCCUACGGGAGGCAGCAAAUCGGAAUAAUCGCCAAUGGGGGAAACCUUGAGCGUGCGACGCCGCGUGAGCGAUGAAGGCCUUCGGGUUGUAAAGCUCUGUGUUGUGGGAAGAAACUCUGACGGAGUAAUAUGCCGUCAGAUUGACGGUACCAUAAUAGAAAGCCCCGGCUAACUACGUGCCAGCAGCCGCGGUAAGACGUAGGGGGCGAGCGUUGUUCGGAAUCACUGGGCGUAAAGGGCGUACAGGCGGCUAUAUUAGUCAAAUGUGAAAUUCUUGGGCUUAACCCGAGGCCUGCAUUUGAAACUGUAUAGCUUGAGAUCAGGAGAGGAGAGUGGAAUAUGUGGUGUAGCGGUGAAAUGCGUAGAUAUCACAUAGAACACCGGUGGCGAGGCGGCUCUCUGGCCUGAUUCUGACGCUGACGCGCGAAAGCUAGGGUAGCGAACGGGAUUAGAUACCCCGGUAGUCCUAGCCGUAAACGAUGGGUACUAAGUGUAGGAGGUCAUUGACCCCUCCUGUGCUGUAGCCAACGCAUUAAGUACCCCGCCUGGGGACUACGGUCGCAAGACUAAAACUCAAUGUAAUUGACGGGGGCCCGCACAAGCGGUGGAGCAUGUCGCUCAAUUCGAAGCAACGCGAAGAACCUUAUCCAGUGGCUUGACAUCCUUUGACAUCUGUGGAAACACAGCUUUCUCUUAUGAGACAAAGUGACAGGUGCUGCAUGGCAGUCGUCAGCUCGUGUCGUGAGAUGUUGGGUUAAGUCCCGCAACGAGCGCAACCCUUGUCUUUAGUUACCAGCGCGUAAUGGCGGGAACUCUAGAGAUACUGCCGGUGAUAAGCCGGAGGAAGGUGGGGAUGACGUCAUGUCCUCAUGGCCCUUAUGCCCUGGGCUGCACACGUGCUACAAUGGUCGGUACAACGGGUCGUGAAACCGUGAGGUGGAACCAAUCCCUAAAAACCGAUCCCAGUUGGGAUUGUAGUCUGCAACUCGACUACAUGAACUUGGAAUCGCUAGUAAUCGCGAAUCAGCAGGUCGCGGUGAAUACGUUCCCGGGCCUUGUACACACCGCCU